This 805-nucleotide ribosomal RNA is filed under the name Amycolatopsis eburnea. Its description in RNAcentral is "Amycolatopsis sp. GLM-1 partial 23S ribosomal RNA". It matches the Rfam family "Bacterial large subunit ribosomal RNA", at positions 400 to 1209 of the family's 2925-position model. Lineage: Bacteria; Bacillati; Actinomycetota; Actinomycetes; Pseudonocardiales; Pseudonocardiaceae. The record is from RNAcentral.
UGGUGUUCCCGAGUAGCAGCGAGCUCGUGGAAUUUGCUGUGAAUCUGCCGGGACCACCCGGUAAGCCUAAAUACUUCCUGGAGACCGAUAGCGGACGAGUACCGUGAGGGAAAGAUGAAAAGUACCCCGGGAGGGGAGUGAAAGAGUACCUGAAACCGUGUGCCUACAAGCCGUCAGAGCCUUUGGGUGAUGGCGUGCCUUUUGAAGAAUGAGCCUGCGAGUUAGUGCUGCGUGGCGAGGUUAACCCGUGUGGGGUAGCCGUAGCGAAAGCGAGUCUGAAUAGGGCGAAUGAGUCGCGUGGUCUAGACCCGAAGCGGAGUGAUCUACCCAUGGCCAGGGUGAAGCGACGGUAAGACGUCGUGGAGGCCCGAACCCACUUAGGUUGAAAACUGAGGGGAUGAGCUGUGGGUAGGGGUGAAAGGCCAAUCAAACUCCGUGAUAGCUGGUUCUCCCCGAAAUGCAUUUAGGUGCAGCGUCACGUGUUUCUUGCCGGGGGUAGAGCUACUGGAUGGUCUAGGGGCCUUACCGGGUUACCGAAAUCAACCAAACUCCGAAUACCGGUUAGUGAGAGCGUGGCAGUGAGACGGCGGGGGAUAAGCUUCGUCGUCGAGAGGGAAACAGCCCAGAACACCAGCUAAGGCCCCUAAGUGUGUGCUCAGUGGGAAAGGAUGUGGGAUUGCCCAGACAACCAGGAGGUUGGCUUAGAAGCAGCCACCCUUGAAAGAGUGCGUAAUAGCUCACUGGUCAAGUGGUCCUGCGCCGACAAUGUAGCGGGGCUUAAGCACACCGCCGAAGCUGUGUCAUU